This 908-nucleotide ribosomal RNA is filed under the name uncultured bacterium. RNAcentral describes it as "bacterial SSU rRNA". It matches the Rfam family "Bacterial small subunit ribosomal RNA", at positions 1 to 900 of the family's 1533-position model. The record is from RNAcentral. RNAcentral also lists the same sequence under 1 other name.
GGAUCCAGACUUUGAUUAUGGCUCCUGAUGAACGCUAGCUACAGGCUUAACACAUGCAAGUCGAGGGGCAGCAUGAAAGGAACUUCGGUUCUUUUUGAUGGCGACCGGCGCACGGGUGCGUAACGCGUAUCGAACCUGCCUCAUACUCGGGGAUAGCCUUGCGAAAGUAAGAUUAAUACCCGGCGGUCUCGGACGGCCGCAUGACAGUCCGAGUGAAGAUUUAUCGGUAUGAGAUGGCGAUGCGUCCCAUUAGCUAGUUGGUGAGGUAAUGGCUCACCAAGGCGUCGAUGGGUAGGGGUUCUGAGAGGAAGGUCCCCCACAUUGGAACUGAGACACGGUCCAAACUCCUACGGGAGGCAGCAGUGAGGAAUAUUGGUCAAUGGACGAAAGUCUGAACCAGCCAAGUAGCGUGCAGGAUGACGGCCCUCUGGGUUGUAAACUGCUUUUAGUUGGGAAUAAAAAGAGGGACGUGUCCCUUAUUGUAUGUACCAUCAGAAAAAGGACCGGCUAAUUCCGUGCCAGCAGCCGCGGUAAUACGGAAGGUCCAGGCGUUAUCCGGAUUUAUUGGGUUUAAAGGGAGCGCAGGCGGCGGCGUAAGUCAGUUGUGAAAUCGUGCGGCUUAACCGUGCAAUUGCAGUUGAUACUGCGUCGCUUGAGUGCACACAGGGAUGUUGGAAUUCAUGGUGUAGCGGUGAAAUGCUUAGAUAUCAUGAAGAACUCCGAUCGCGAAGGCAUAUGUCCGGAGUGCAACUGACGCUGAGGCUCGAAAGUGUGGGUAUCAAACAGGAUUAGAUACCCUGGUAGUCCACACAGUAAACGAUGAAUACUCGCGGUUGGUUCGUUAGAAUCAGCCGCCAAGCGAAAGCGUUAAGUAUUCCACCUGGGGAGUACGCCGGCAACGGUGCAAC